This 253-nucleotide ribosomal RNA is filed under the name uncultured bacterium. RNAcentral describes it as "partial 16S ribosomal RNA". It matches the Rfam family "Bacterial small subunit ribosomal RNA", at positions 524 to 776 of the family's 1533-position model. The record is from RNAcentral.
UACGAAGGGGGCUAGCGUUGCUCGGAAUUACUGGGCGUAAAGGGCGCGUAGGCGGACAGUUUAGUCAGAGGUGAAAGCCCAGGGCUCAACCCUGGAAUUGCCCUUGAUACUGGCUGUCUUGAGUACGGGAGAGGUGUGUGGAACUCCGAGUGUAGAGGUGAAAUUCGUAGAUAUUCGGAAGAACACCAGUGGCGAAGGCGACACACUGGCCCGUUACUGACGCUGAGGCGCGAAAGCGUGGGGAGCAAACAGG